This 769-nucleotide ribosomal RNA is filed under the name uncultured delta proteobacterium. Its description in RNAcentral is "bacterial SSU rRNA". It matches the Rfam family "Bacterial small subunit ribosomal RNA", at positions 9 to 795 of the family's 1533-position model. Lineage: Bacteria; Deltaproteobacteria. The record is from RNAcentral.
GAGUUUGAUCCUGGCUCAGGACAAACGCUGGUGGUGUGCCUAAUACAUGCAAGUCGAACGAGAAAGUUCCUUCGGGGGCGAGUAAAGUGGCGAACGGGUGAGUAACGCGUAGAUAACGUACCUUCAGGUGGGGGAUAACCAGUUGAAAAGCUGGAUAAUACCGCAUAAGACCACAUAUCCGAGGAUAUAGGGGUCAAAGAUUUAUCGCCUGAGGAUCGGUCUGCGUCCGAUUAGUUUGUUGGUGGGGUAAAAGCCUACCAAGACGAUGAUCGGUAGCUGGUCUGAGAGGAUGAUCAGCCACAUUGGGACUGAGACACGGCCCAAACUCCUACGGGAGGCAGCAGUAGGGAAUCUUGCGCAAUGGGGGAAACCCUGACGCAGCGACACCACAUGAGUGAUGAAGGCCUUAGGGUUGUAAAGCUCUGUUCUUGGCGAACAAAAAAUGAGCUUAGUCAAGGAGAAAGGACCGGCUAACUUCGUGCCAGCAGCUGCGGUAAGACGAGGGGUCCAAGCGUUGUCCGGAAUUAUUGGGCGUAAAGCGGGUGUAGGUGGUUUUGUAAGUCAGAAGUGAAAGCCUCAGGCUCAACCUGAGAAGUGCUUUUGAUACUGCAGAGCUUGAGUGUGGAAGAGGGUAGUAGAAUUCCUGGUGUAGCGGUGGAAUGCGUAGAUAUCAGGAGGAAUACCGGAGGCGAAGGCAUCUGCCUGGUCCAACACUGACGCUGAGACCCGAAAGCGUGGGGAGCAAACAGGAUUAGAUACCCUGGUAGUC